UAAGGAAUAUUGGUCAAUGGGCGCAAGCCUGAACCAGCCAUGCCGCGUGCAGGAAGACGGCCCUACGGGUUGUAAACUGCUUUUGCAGGGGAAUAAACCCCCGUAUGUAUACGGGGUUGAAUGUACUCUGAGAAUAAGGAUCGGCUAACUCCGUGCCAGCAGCCGCGGUAAUACGGAGGAUCCGAGCGUUAUCCGGAUUUAUUGGGUUUAAAGGGUGCGUAGGCGGCCUUGUAAGUCAGGGGUGAAAGACGGUAGCUUAACUAUCGCAGUGCCUUUGAUACUGCAGGGCUUGAAUGUACUUGAGGUAGGCGGAAUGUGACAAGUAGCGGUGAAAUGCAUAGAUAUGUCACAGAACACCAAUUGCGAAGGCAGCUUACUAAAGUAUGAUUGACGCUGAGGCACGAAAGCGUGGGGAUCAAACAGGAUUAGAUACCCCCGUAGUCC
RNAcentral lists this ribosomal RNA (444 nucleotides) under uncultured bacterium. RNAcentral describes it as "bacterial SSU rRNA". It matches the Rfam family "Bacterial small subunit ribosomal RNA", at positions 355 to 796 of the family's 1533-position model. The record is from RNAcentral.